This 459-nucleotide ribosomal RNA is filed under the name uncultured bacterium. RNAcentral's name for it is "partial 16S ribosomal RNA". It matches the Rfam family "Bacterial small subunit ribosomal RNA", at positions 30 to 507 of the family's 1533-position model. The record is from RNAcentral.
AUUGAACGCUGGCGGCAUGCCUAACACAUGCAAGUCGAGCGGAUGAAUCGAGCUUGCUCCUGGAUUCAGCCGCAGACGGGUGAGUAAUGCCUAGGAAUCUGCCUGAACGUGGGGAAUAACGUCCGGAAACGGGCGCUAAUACCGCAUACGUCCUGUGAGAGAAAUUGGGGGAUCUUCGGAUCUGACGCUAUCAUAUGAGCCUACGUCGGAUUAGCUAGUUGGUAGGGUAAAGGCCUACCAAGGCGACGAUCCGUAACUGGUCUGAGAGGAUGAGCAGUCACACUGAGACUGAGACACGGCCCAGACUCCUACGGGAGGCAGCAGUGGGUAAUAUUGGACAAUGGGCGAAAGCCUGAUCCAGCAAUGCCGCGUGAGUGAUGAAGGCCUUAGGGUUGUAAAGCUCUUUUACCCGGGAUGAUAAUGACAUUACCGGGAGAAUAAGCUCCGGCUAACUCCGUG